UGCAUCAAAUUGGGUUACGUUAGGGAAAAGGGUGUAGAUGAGUCUUAAAAAAUACAACACCCUAAAAAAAACAGGUCUCUCUCUUUAGAAAUAGGGUGCACUCCAAACCUUAUUGCAACCAUUAUUGCUAGCAAAUGAAGGAUCAAGAAAAUCAUCGAUGCGCCAGCCUGGAGAGCUGAGGAUUUCGUUGGAAUUCUUUAGGUAUGGCUGAUGGUUUCUAUUGCUAGUAGUGUUAAUGUUUGCGUCAAAGUUAUUAGUGGAGGUCGAUGAUGCUGUGUGCAGAGAAGAAGAAGCAGAGAGCCUUACACCUGUGAGAAGAAACCUGUUGUGUUUCUGAGAAUGUUCAUUAGCUUUGUGAAUUGGGAGGUCACAUUCUCUGCAUAGAAUGGCCCUAUCCUCUUGACAAAACAGGAGGGCUCUCCUCUCCUGAAGAAAAAUAACCACGAAGACUAUAUUUUAUAACCUCAACAAUCACAGUAAGUGAAAAGCAAGUGAAGGAUCUAGCUGGUGGUACCUGACAGAUAUCACAGAGAGGGGAUUCUUUGAAAGAAGGAUGGACUAAAGAGAACCUCGAGUGUUUGCUUGCUAACUUGUUUGCAUGGUGAACUCUGUGAUCACAUCCAUCGCAGAGAGCAGCUUCAUCCGCACAACAGAAAACUGUCGCCUCUACAUUGUCACACACAUCACACCGGAUCUUCAUUACCAUCCUAGUAUACCCCCUCUAAUAUUCUUGGUUGGAGUUUAAUGUAAAGAUAGAUUGUGGUCUUUUGAAAUUGACCUUUAAGAGUGAAUAAAAGGAUACUGACAAAGCUGUUGUGGGAGUAUGGGCAAUAGGGGAGUGGAAAUGGAUGAACAGCUAAGCUCAGGGGUCUUGAAUGUAUAUCUGGCUUUUUUAGAGAAAGCUCUGGAUAGAUGCCAUGUAGUUGUCCUUGGUAUUUCUCUUUCUAUAUAGUAAAGAAGAUGAGCGCAAGUUGGCUUCUGGGCUAUAAAGUUAUUGCACAGUUACCUAGAGCUUUCACUCUCAUUAUCAGUGCUGUCUGAAGUUGGAGGAAUGGCUACCCAUUUUCAUUCACCUUCUAUUUAUUGAUCCAAGCUCCUCUAUUCAUGUUAAAUCGGCAGUAAAUAUAAAUUUACUCCUGUGGGUGGUGGAGCAAUGCUAGCUCAUGGGAGACCAGAGCUGGUUGCUUGACUUGCAUUACCAAUAUUUUAGUUGAUUCAGAA
Long non-coding RNA from Populus nigra (black poplar), 1221 nucleotides. RefSeq lists it as uncharacterized. Lineage: Eukaryota; Viridiplantae; Streptophyta; Magnoliopsida; Malpighiales; Salicaceae. The transcript is spliced from 2 exons. The record is from RefSeq and is a predicted model, not a curated record.